UGAUGGCAAAUGAUGAAUCUUGAUGUUAAAUGGGUAAUUUGCAUCUGAGGUUUUAAUUUCCAUUGAUGCUACCACUUUGGAAUUCUGAUGCCUUUU
This is a small nucleolar RNA of Dendrobium catenatum, 96 nucleotides long. NCBI's taxonomy places the organism in Eukaryota, Viridiplantae, Streptophyta, Magnoliopsida, Asparagales, Orchidaceae. The record is from RefSeq and is a predicted model, not a curated record.